CCGAUGGAGGGGGAUAACUACUGGAAACGGUAGCUAAUACCGCAUAACGUCGCAAGACCAAAGAGGGGGACCUUCGGGCCUCUUGCCAUCGGAUGUGCCCAGAUGGGAUUAGCUAGUAGGUGGGGUAACGGCUCACCUAGGCGCGAUCCCUAGCUGGUCUGAGAGGAUGACCAGCCACACUGGAACUGAGACACGGUCCAG
This 201-nucleotide ribosomal RNA is filed under the name uncultured bacterium. Its description in RNAcentral is "partial 16S ribosomal RNA". It matches the Rfam family "Bacterial small subunit ribosomal RNA", at positions 130 to 334 of the family's 1533-position model. The record is from RNAcentral.